RNAcentral lists this ribosomal RNA (256 nucleotides) under uncultured prokaryote. Its description in RNAcentral is "partial 16S ribosomal RNA". It matches the Rfam family "Bacterial small subunit ribosomal RNA", at positions 524 to 780 of the family's 1533-position model. The record is from RNAcentral.
CACGUAGGGGCGAGCGUUGUCCGGAAUUACUGGGCGUAAAGGGCGCGCAGGCUGUUAUGCGAGUCUGCUGUGAAAUGUACCGGCUCAACCGGUGCCUUGCGGCGGAUACUGCAUAGCUGGAGUACUGGAGAGGGAAGUGGAAUUCCCGGUGUAGCGGUGAAAUGCGUAGAUAUCAGGAGGAACACCGGUGGCGAAGGCGGGUCUCUGGGCUGUGACUGACACUGAGGAGCGAAAGCAUGGGGAGCGAACAGGAUUA